Molecule: ribosomal RNA, 514 nt
Filed under: uncultured bacterium
Lineage: Bacteria
Description: bacterial SSU rRNA
Rfam family: Bacterial small subunit ribosomal RNA
Source: RNAcentral
GAUGAACGCUAGCGGGAGGCUUAACACAUGCAAGUCGAGGGGCAGCAUAGGGUAGCAAUACUCUGAUGGCGACCGGCAAACGGGUGAGUAACGCGUAUGCAACCUACCCUGUACAGGGGGAUAACCCGGAGAAAUUCGGACUAAUAUCCCGUAAUAAUAUCCGGAGGCAUCUUUGGAUAUUUAAAGUUCCGACGGUACGGGAUGGGCAUGCGUAACAUUAACUGGUUGGUAAGGUAACGGCUUACCAAGGCUAUGAUGUUUAGGGGUCCUGAGAGGGUGGUCCCCCACACUGGUACUGAGACACGGACCAGACUCCUACGGGAGGCAGCAGUGAGGAAUAUUGGUCAAUGGGCGCAAGCCUGAACCAGCCAUCCCGCGUGCAGGAAGACGGCCCUAUGGGUUGUAAACUGCUUUUCCAGGGAGAGAAACUUACGCACGUGUUGCGUGACUGACGGUACCCUGGGAAUAAGCAUCGGCUAACUCCGUGCCAGGAGCCGCGGUAAUCUAGUCUACG